UACGUAGGGUGCGAGCGUUAAUCGGAAUUACUGGGCGUAAAGCGUGCGCAGGCGGUUUUGUAAGACAGGUGUGAAAUCCCCGGGCUUAACCUGGGAACUGCGCUUGUGACUGCAAGACUCGAGUACGGCAGAGGGGGUGGAAUUCCACGUGUAGCAGUGAAAUGCGUAGAGAUGUGGAGGAACACCGAUGGCGAAGGCAGCCCCCUGGGUCGAUACUGACGCUCAUGCACGAAAGCGUGGGGAGCAAACAGG
This 252-nucleotide ribosomal RNA is filed under the name uncultured bacterium. RNAcentral's name for it is "partial 16S ribosomal RNA". It matches the Rfam family "Bacterial small subunit ribosomal RNA", at positions 524 to 776 of the family's 1533-position model. The record is from RNAcentral.